Molecule: long non-coding RNA, 1717 nt
Organism: Tachysurus fulvidraco (yellow catfish)
Lineage: Eukaryota; Metazoa; Chordata; Actinopteri; Siluriformes; Bagridae
Exons: 4
Source: RefSeq, a predicted model, not a curated record
GAAAGCCCAGCUCCUUUCUGCUCAUUGGCUACACGUUUGUUUUGAUUUUUGUUUAUUAUCGGCCCAACUCAAAAAUCAGAGACCCCACCUUUAAUGUGUCUUGAGGACAAUUUUGUAAAUAUUUGACGGAUUAAACAGACCAACGGGCCGUAGUUUUCAGUAAUAUGUCAAAUUAAAGAAUUAAUGUCAUUGUCAAAAAAUGUCAUUGUUUCCAAAUUUUCAUUUAAUAAAUCAAUACAUAAAUAUACUAGAUUUAUCCUUAAUAGUGCAACUCUUCGGAUAUUAUAAGGAAAUGUAAUUUAAACAGUGACAGGGUUAGUUAUAGUGUAUAAGACAUAACUUUAUUAUAUCAUCUGUCUAACUCUACCUUCUGAAGAAUGUCUCUCAUUCUGACUGGUUCUGAUGUUUCCUAGUGAGUGAAGAGACUCAGGACUCAGCAGCACCAAUCAGGAGAAGACACAGUAUGGGGGGAAAUCGUCCAACAAUGAGUGAAGAGACUCAGGACUCAGCAGCACCAAUCAGGAGAAGUAACAGUUUGGGGGGAAAUCGUCCAACAAUGAGUGAAGAGACUCAGGACUCAGCAGCACCAAUCAGGAGAAGUAACAGUUUGGAGGGAAAUCGUCCAACAAUGGGUGGAGAAUAGUCUAGUCCACAUUCUCCAGCAUCGGUUCCUGUAGCAGAACUAAGGCUGGUGCUGUUGGAGAGGACGGGGUCUGGGAAGAGUGUAACAGGAGACACCAUCCUAGGCAGAGAGGAGAGGAACAAGGCUGCUACAGAUGCAGCAGCUCAGAAUUGCUGAUUGACUACCGCACCAUCACUGUCUCAUCAAUGUGUGAUUCUGCCAGACAUCCACUAGGAAUGCUACAAUGGUCUUGUUCCCCCCGCUCUGACAUAGUUAAUGAGUAGCUGCCUUAUUCACUACGCGCGUUUGUUGUAAUGAUGCAUUGAUCCACCAGGUGGCGCUGUGAUCAGUGUAACAAUUGCUGGCUUUAACCAAUGAAACGUCUCUAAAUUAAAUGUAAACAAAUUGCAGCAGAGAGAGAGAGAGACAGGUUGAUCAGACAUAGCCUCGCGUUUUAUGAUAUUUGAAAUCCUUGCUUGGUCUCUAUUGCACUCCCUUGAUUUUUCACUUUACACUUUUCUGGGGUGGGUUAUUUUAAUUAUAUGAAAUAAUUACAUAAUUAUGUAAAAUAAAAGGUUGUUUUCAAUACAAUUUUGGAGCAAAGACCUUGUUUGCUGUCACAGAGUAAACACUGGAAUUUUUUAUUUGUAUAAAGAACUGCAAAUGACAAAUUAAUCUCACAGGUUUCUUGUGCAAAUACACCAUUAAGUGACAUACAAGCACCUGACUCGUCUAUUGUGUCCAGUCCGAUUGCAUUAACAUACCUAUAGAUGUAGGAGGUUUGAAUCGCAGAUGUGUGGUAACACUCAUUCCUAUGGGGGAUGUUGUGAACAUCAAUGUCAAGACCCAAAUGUGCCUAGUAACCAUAACAAAGAAUGUUGAUGUCCCCCACUUCUUUCAGACAGAAUAGUCAGUCUGGUUAGAACAGGCUUCUGCUGCUGCAAAUCUGAGAUUUGUAGUCAUAACUAGAACGGUAUAUUUCCUAAAGAAAAUGUGAAUGUGCUUGCACGUGGCAAAUUCCCCUCAUCGUGCUGAGUGUUUUGAUAUAUGACAUGUCCAUGUUGUGCUAAAUUUUUGAUUUCGCUUAUUUUGGGG